GAAAAACCCGUGGCCUCCUCGCCUCUCCUCCCCUCCUCUGUGUAUGGAGCGGCGCCCAGCGACUGGAUUCCGCGCCGGGAGACUCACCCUGAACGCGUAUGUCGGUCUGGCUCGGUACGUACCCCUUCCUGUCGGGCACCUUCUCACUUUUACCUUUUUCCAGGCAGUUUCACGCACGGAAAAUGAAUUAGACGCUGGAGGAAAAACAAGCGCGUCCGAUCGCUUUCACUCUUCACUUUGUGAUGUGUGUGUGUGUGUGUGUGUGUGGGGUAAUCAAAAAUCCACUCCCCUGUAAACCGCACUACUGGGGAGCCAGGAAAAGCCAGCUAUGUAAGUUGCUGCCACAAAUUGCUGCACUCUGCCAGACGAUGACUAGAUGAUGAUGAUAAUGAUGAUGAUGAGAACCCUGCCAAAGGUGUUGCUUUUGUUAGAAAAUUUCAUUAUUUUGGCUUAAGCUGCAAACACACACGUGCCCUGCACCCUCCUGGUUCUUGUCGGCAUAUUUAUGUGCCAGGUACUCGUAUGUAUGCACACACAUGCCAUUUAUAGCCAGGGAUUAAAAGUCAAAUCCUUUUGUUUAAGUGCCAAAAUUAAUUUUCAUUUGACAUGCAAUGGGCCACAAGCUAAAAACAUGUUUUCAUGCUCUUGCCACACAGAUACUCAGACAACGACGAGGCCAAAAUGUCUGGGAUGGGCACCGAUGACCGAUGCCCCCCCCAACUGCUGCCUGCCAUCUUGGGUGGAGUUUCAUUUUUGUAUAGUUUUCUUUGGGCUUUAAAAUAUUUACCGCAGCUGAAUGCAAAAAUCUCACUAAUCCAUUGAUUGGGAACUUAAUUGAGUCUGGCCAUAAACGACGCGGCGACGGGUCUACAGCGUUCCGCUCGUCCAAAUAUAAUCAAAUACCAAUUUAAAUUAACUCAACAGCAAUUUAAGCCAACAAAAAAAGCGUAUUACCAACUAGACAGCCCCGCCACAGAGCCUGAUACACACACAGGAAAAAAAGAAAGAUUAAAUUAGUGCAAAAAUGUAAACAUGUUGUAUGAGCGAGAGGGAGAGAAAGACAGACAGAGAGAGGACAUGGACAUGUAAAUGACGCCCGGCACCAGCCUCAAACAUGUUAACCGCAUGUAAAGUGGUCCGCUGCGAUCCAAUCCACUGUCCAGUGCUGAUGCUGGUGGUGGGGGGUUUGAGAUUGAGGGG
RNAcentral lists this long non-coding RNA (1200 nucleotides) under Drosophila guanche. The record is from RNAcentral. Lineage: Eukaryota; Metazoa; Arthropoda; Insecta; Diptera; Drosophilidae.